Molecule: transfer RNA, 76 nt
Filed under: Treponema primitia ZAS-2
Lineage: Bacteria; Pseudomonadati; Spirochaetota; Spirochaetia; Treponematales; Treponemataceae
Description: tRNA-Thr
Rfam family: tRNA
About the family: Transfer RNA (tRNA) molecules are approximately 80 nucleotides in length.
Source: RNAcentral
GCCAAGAUGGCUCAGUCGGUAGAGCGACACACUCGUAAUGUGUAGGUCCCGGGUUCGAUUCCCGGUCUUGGCUCAA